AGAGUUUGAUCAUGGCUCAGAUUGAACGCUGGCGGCAGGCCUAACACAUGCAAGUCGAGCGGUAGCACAGAGAGCUUGCUCUCGGGUGACGAGCGGCGGACGGGUGAGUAAUGUCUGGGAAACUGCCUGAUGGAGGGGGAUAACUACUGGAAACGGUAGCUAAUACCGCAUAACGUCGCAAGACCAAAGUGGGGGACCUUCGGGCCUCAUGCCAUCAGAUGUGCCCAGAUGGGAUUAGCUAGUAGGUGGGGUAACGGCUCACCUAGGCGACGAUCCCUAGCUGGUCUGAGAGGAUGACCAGCCACACUGGAACUGAGACACGGUCCAGACUCCUACGGGAGGCAGCAGUGGGGAAUAUUGCACAAUGGGCGCAAGCCUGAUGCAGCCAUGCCGCGUGUGUGAAGAAGGCCUUCGGGUUGUAAAGCACUUUCAGCGGGGAGGAAGGCGUUGAGGUUAAUAACCUCAUCGAUUGACGUUACCCGCAGAAGAAGCACCGGCUAACUCCGUGCCAGCAGCCGCGGUAAUACGGAGGGUGCAAGCGUUAAUCGGAAUUACUGGGCGUAAAGCGCACGCAGGCGGUCUGUCAAGUCGGAUGUGAAAUCCCCGGGCUCAACCUGGGAACUGCAUUCGAAACUGGCAGGCUAGAGUCUUGUAGAGGGGGGUAGAAUUCCAGGUGUAGCGGUGAAAUGCGUAGAGAUCUGGAGGAAUACCGGUGGCGAAGGCGGCCCCCUGGACAAAGACUGACGCUCAGGUGCGAAAGCGUGGGGAGCAAACAGGAUUAGAUACCCUGGUAGUCCACGCCGUAAACGAUGUCGAUUUGGAGGUUGUGCCCUUGAGGCGUGGCUUCCGGAGCUAACGCGUUAAAUCGACCGCCUGGGGAGUACGGCCGCAAGGUUAAAACUCAAAUGAAUUGACGGGGGCCCGCACAAGCGGUGGAGCAUGUGGUUUAAUUCGAUGCAACGCGAAGAACCUUACCUGGUCUUGACAUCCACAGAACUUAGCAGAGAUGCUUUGGUGCCUUCGGGAACUGUGAGACAGGUGCUGCAUGGCUGUCGUCAGCUCGUGUUGUGAAAUGUUGGGUUAAGUCCCGCAACGAGCGCAACCCUUAUCCUUUGUUGCCAGCGGUCCGGCCGGGAACUCAAAGGAGACUGCCAGUGAUAAACUGGAGGAAGGUGGGGAUGACGUCAAGUCAUCAUGGCCCUUACGACCAGGGCUACACACGUGCUACAAUGGCAUAUACAAAGAGAAGCGACCUCGCGAGAGCAAGCGGACCUCAUAAAGUAUGUCGUAGUCCGGAUUGGAGUCUGCAACUCGACUCCAUGAAGUCGGAAUCGCUAGUAAUCGUAGAUCAGAAUGCUACGGUGAAUACGUUCCCGGGCCUUGUACACACCGCCCGUCACACCAUGGGAGUGGGUUGCAAAAGAAGUAGGUAGCUUAACCUUCGGGAGGGCGCUUACCACUUUGUGAUUCAUGACUGGGGUGAAGUCGUAACAAGGUAACCGUAGGGGAACCUGCGGUUGGAUCACCU
Molecule: ribosomal RNA, 1528 nt
Filed under: Klebsiella pneumoniae
Lineage: Bacteria; Pseudomonadati; Pseudomonadota; Gammaproteobacteria; Enterobacterales; Enterobacteriaceae
Description: bacterial SSU rRNA
Rfam family: Bacterial small subunit ribosomal RNA
Source: RNAcentral